This 273-nucleotide ribosomal RNA is filed under the name Vibrio parahaemolyticus. RNAcentral describes it as "partial 16S ribosomal RNA". It matches the Rfam family "Bacterial small subunit ribosomal RNA", at positions 107 to 383 of the family's 1533-position model. RNAcentral also lists the same sequence under 1 other name. The record is from RNAcentral. Lineage: Bacteria; Pseudomonadati; Pseudomonadota; Gammaproteobacteria; Vibrionales; Vibrionaceae.
UGAGUAAUGCCUAGGAAAUUGCCCUGAUGUGGGGGAUAACCAUUGGAAACGAUGGCUAAUACCGCAUGAUGCCUACGGGCCAAAGAGGGGGACCUUCGGGCCUCUCGCGUCAGGAUAUGCCUAGGUGGGAUUAGCUAGUUGGUGAGGUAAGGGCUCACCAAGGCGACGAUCCCUAGCUGGUCUGAGAGGAUGAUCAGCCACACUGGAACUGAGACACGGUCCAGACUCCUACGGGAGGCAGCAGUGGGGAAUAUUGCACAAUGGGCGCAAGCC